This 436-nucleotide ribosomal RNA is filed under the name uncultured bacterium. RNAcentral describes it as "partial 16S ribosomal RNA". It matches the Rfam family "Bacterial small subunit ribosomal RNA", at positions 29 to 507 of the family's 1533-position model. The record is from RNAcentral.
AGCGAACGCUGGCGGCAGGCUUAACACAUGCAAGUCGAGCGGGCAUCCUUGUGGUGUCAGCGGCAGACGGGUGAGUAACGCGUGGGAACGUGCCCUUCGGUUCGGAAUAACUCAGGGAAACUUGAGCUAAUACCGGAUACGCCCUUUUGGGGAAAGGUUUACUGCCGAAGGAUCGGCCCGCGUCUGAUUAGCUAGUUGGUGAGGUUAUGGCUCACCAAGGCGACGAUCAGUAGCUGGGCUGAGAGGAUGAUCAGCCACACUGGGACUGGGACACGGCCCAGACUCCUACGGGAGGCAGCAGUGGGGGAUAUUGGACCAUGGGGGCAAUCAUGAUCCAGCCAUGCCGCGUGAGUGAUGACGGCCUUAGGGUUGUAAAGCUCUUUUCUCCGGGACGAUAAUGACGGUACCGGAGGAAUAAGCCCCGGCUAACUUCGUG